RNAcentral lists this transfer RNA (88 nucleotides) under Canis lupus familiaris (dog). It matches the Rfam family "tRNA". From Rfam's summary of the family: Transfer RNA (tRNA) molecules are approximately 80 nucleotides in length. Their secondary structure includes four short double-helical elements and three loops (D, anti-codon, and T loops). The record is from Rfam by way of RNAcentral. RNAcentral also lists the same sequence under 1 other name. Lineage: Eukaryota; Metazoa; Chordata; Mammalia; Carnivora; Canidae.
ACCUGGGUGGCUCAGUGGUUGAGCAUCUGCCUUUGGCUCAGGUUGACCUCAGAUCCUGGGGUCCUGGGAUCGAGUCCCAGUUUAGGCU